AUUGAACGCUGGCGGCAGGCCUAACACAUGCAAGUCGAACGGCAGCACAGAAGAGCUUGCUCUUUGGGUGGCGAGUGGCGGACGGGUGAGUAAUGUCUGGGAAACUGCCCGAUGGAGGGGGAUAACUACUGGAAACGGUAGCUAAUACCGCAUAACGUCGCGAGACCAAAGUGGGGGACCUUCGGGCCUCACACCAUCGGAUGUGCCCAGAUGGGAUUAGCUAGUAGGUGGGGUAAUGGCUCACCUAGGCGACGAUCCCUAGCUGGUCUGAGGGGAUGAGCAGCCACACUGGAACUGAGACACGGUCCAGACUCCUACGGGAGGCAGCAGUGGGGAAUAUUGCACAAUGGGCGCAAGCCUGAUGCAGCCAUGCCGCGUGUAUGAAGAAGGCCUUCGGGUUGUAAAGUACUUUCAGCGGGGAGGAAGGCGGUGAGGUUAAUAACCUCGCCGAUUGACGUUACCCGCAGAAGAAGCACCGGCUAACUCCGUGCCAGCAGCCGCCGCCG
Molecule: ribosomal RNA, 506 nt
Filed under: uncultured bacterium
Lineage: Bacteria
Description: partial 16S ribosomal RNA
Rfam family: Bacterial small subunit ribosomal RNA
Source: RNAcentral